Molecule: long non-coding RNA, 911 nt
Filed under: Homo sapiens (human)
Lineage: Eukaryota; Metazoa; Chordata; Mammalia; Primates; Hominidae
Description: HSALNT0361345
Source: RNAcentral
AAAGCUGUUCUACCACCUAUCACACAUUACAAACUUCAGCUACUUAAGCCCACUGCAGAGUAGAAAAAAAUUGUAACCACCUUGGCAGAUUGUGGUGUAAGCACAAAAAGAGUUAUCAUUUGCAAAGAACGCUGAGCUGCCAACACCAUGCUGAGGGCAGUGGGACUUCCCAGAGUAGUAGAAUACAUGCAGCCUGGUGUAUAUUGAGUUUUUGAGCCUAUCACUCAGAUUCUAUUCUGGAAAUUUCCUCUCCUUGUUGACCCUGCCCCCAUUUGGUCACCCUCCCUGCCCUAGGACUGAGUACGAAGGAAAGGUUAUUCUACUAUUCUGUGCUGGGAGGCAGACAUCGUCAUACUUACCAAGGCUGCUUAUGAGAUCUUGGAGAUACAGAAUGGAAAUGACCCCACAGUCUCUGGGUAACACCCUGGAGACUGUAUUCAAGCUGCCUGUAGCAAUAUGAAGGCUUAUGAUCACUUCAUGUUCAUUUAAGGGAUGUAUACAUAGUUAAGGAAACCAUGAGCAAGAAAGGAGCCCUGGUAUUCCUUGAACAUGCAUACCUUUCCCAGCGUGAGGGACAUGGACCGUGCCGUGCGAGGGACCCCAUCUUCUGCAGCAGGAGGGAGCAGAGAAGAGAACACAGGUUCAGGGUACAUGUGCAGGUGCAUUACAUAAACUUGUCAUGAAGAUUUGUUGUACAGAUUAUUUCGUCACCCAGCCACCCUCAUCAGCCAGAGUUCAAACCCUGACAGUGCCCAUGGAGAGAUCUGGUCCAAGGCACCAACCUCUUCCUGCUGGACUGAGAAAGAGCCUCCUACUGUGUCUCUCUUUACCUCAGCUUUUGCACACCUCCAAUAUAUUGUCCACUGAAGUCAGAAUAAUCUAAAAAUAAAGGCUGAUUACCUCAUGUGGUA